This 1083-nucleotide long non-coding RNA is filed under the name Cyanistes caeruleus (blue tit). RNAcentral describes it as "lncRNA (ENSCCEG00000006801.1)". Lineage: Eukaryota; Metazoa; Chordata; Aves; Passeriformes; Paridae. The record is from RNAcentral.
AAGUAUUUUUAGCUUGUGAACAUACCCAAAGCAUAAAGUGUCAAAUGUGAAUCUUUGUUAUUUUAUGAUUUCAGGUACCAGCAUGCAAUUCUGUAGAUGAACAAGGUUUCAGAUCUAUCUCCAAAACUCCUGGUGCUCCUUUUGCUAUUGUCACUUCCCUUGCUGAUCUUGCCUGGACACCUCAAGACAGUCCAAGGACAAGAUGCUGUCUAAGAGACCUGCAUUAUAAAGGUUGCCCAUCUGCACACAGCUGGAGCAGCAGUGAGAGACCAGCCCUGAAGUACACUUACUCAGAGUGGAAGGUCAUCCUGGGCACAACUGUGUUUUCUGGCAAGGUGUUUGGAAACUCCUUUGAGGUACCUGUAAUCAGGAGAACAACUUCAAAAAUGUCUGAGCCAAUUUCCCCACACUGCCUCAAACUUGGAAUAGAUAGAAAAAGAGUCAAGUUGAUUUAAUGUAUAGCUAUGGAUGCUCAUCCAGUGAGAAAUGUGAAGUUCUGUCAAAACCCUUGACCAUGCAAAACAGGAAGAAGAUAAAAAGUGGAAUAUUGUGGGACCUGAGCAUUCAAAUAUCUUUAGAUACUUUUGGAAGACUCUGUCUGUGGGACUGCACCUUGAAGAUGGAGCCCAGCUGGUGGCAGGUUGGGUUGGCAGGAGCUCACUAGUUGGCAUCAGUCAAAUUUAAAGACCAAACCAGGAGCAAAAACUAUGUGUGGUUAAGGAUCCAUUUGGAAUGCUAGUCUUUAUUUUCUUUUUUUUUUUUCUGUGUGCUUAUUUUUUUACCAAGUAGAGUUACUUUCUUUGAUUAAUAGAACACAGCAAGGUUAUUUAGAACUGGAAAUUUGAUAUCUCUACUGCAUCAGACUUAACAUUCAUUUCAAAGACAUCUCUUUAUCAGGGAAUGGCUUCUUAGGGCCAGCCUCAGGAUUGCAUUACAGCUCCUAUCUGUGCUGAAACUGUUGUGUAUCAGGAGGUCAGUGUAAGUAGUAAAAGUCUGUAGCCUGGAAUAAUCAACCUGACACAGACAACCUAACCCCCACAUUAUAAUUAGCAUGCCAGGACUUAAUUCCUUGCUAAAACACAG